GUCCUUUCAGGGACAUUUGAUAAAAUUGGAACGAUACAAAAAAGAUUAGCAUAGCUCCUACGCAAGGAUAACACGCAUAAAUUGAGAAAUGGUCUAAAUUUUU
Molecule: small nuclear RNA, 103 nt
Organism: Malus domestica (apple)
Lineage: Eukaryota; Viridiplantae; Streptophyta; Magnoliopsida; Rosales; Rosaceae
Source: RefSeq, a predicted model, not a curated record